CCUACGGGAGGCAGCAGUGGGGAAUAUUGGACAAUGGGCGAAAGCCUGAUCCAGCAAUGCCGCGUGAGUGAUGAAGGCCUUAGGGUCGUAAAGCUCUUUUACCAGGGAUGAUAAUGACAGUACCUGGAGAAUAAGCUCCGGCUAACUCCGUGCCAGCAGCCGCGGUAAUACGGAGGGAGCUAGCGUUGUUCGGAAUUACUGGGCGUAAAGCGUACGUAGGCGGUUAUUCAAGUCAGAGGUGAAAGCCCGGGGCUCAACCCCGGAACGGCCUUUGAAACUAGAUAGCUAGAGUCUUGGAGAGGUCAGUGGAAUUCCGAGUGUAGAGGUGAAAUUCGUAGAUAUUCGGAAGAACACCAGUGGCGAAGGCGACUGACUGGACAAGUACUGACGCUGAGGUACGAAAGCGUGGGGAGCAAACAGGAUUAGAUACCCUGGUAGUCCACGCCGUAAACGAUGAUAACUAGCUGUCCGGGUACUUGGUAUCUGGGUGGCGCAGCUACGCAUAAGUUAUCCGUCCGUCGGGUAGGUACGGUCGCGAAGAAUUAAACUAACAAUAGAAUUAGUACGGCGUGAGACGUGCCGACGGACGACGACGAGGGAGGUAGG
Molecule: ribosomal RNA, 606 nt
Filed under: uncultured bacterium
Lineage: Bacteria
Description: bacterial SSU rRNA
Rfam family: Bacterial small subunit ribosomal RNA (bases 1-516)
Source: RNAcentral